AUGGAGCAUAUAAAUGCGUUAAGGAACUCUCUUCCGUAAGAUCUAUCAAUGUAGAAAGAUAAACAUUGUUUCCUAAAUCAAGAAAUGAAAAUCCCUUGCUAUCUUUCCAUCCUCCUACUUGUUGUCUUCAUGGAUUCUGGAAAUCAAGUGCACAUGGCUGUGGUACCUGAAUAUGUACAUUGUGAUUAUUUAACAUUGCGUAAUGAUUAUUGUGACAUAAAGAACGAUCCUUGCGACGCUCAUUGCAAAGUACAUUACAGAUCAACCAACGUAACUGGAUCUUGUGACAUUGACAUAAAUUUAUGUGUUUGUACAUAUUGUCAUGAAUAAUAUUUAGCUAGCUACAACAAUCACUGCUUUCACACCAAUUGAAUGUGUAAGGCGAUGAACUGAAAAAUUAUAUAAAUAAAAUGGUUGCAUUAUUUGAUUCAUAUGACAA
Molecule: long non-coding RNA, 439 nt
Organism: Glycine soja
Lineage: Eukaryota; Viridiplantae; Streptophyta; Magnoliopsida; Fabales; Fabaceae
Exons: 2
Source: RefSeq, a predicted model, not a curated record